This 6374-nucleotide long non-coding RNA is filed under the name Homo sapiens (human). RNAcentral's name for it is "HSALNT0112625". The record is from RNAcentral. Lineage: Eukaryota; Metazoa; Chordata; Mammalia; Primates; Hominidae.
GUUUAUUAAAUAUUAACUCACACGUUCACAAGGUCCCACAAUGGGCUGUCUGCAAGCUGAGGAGGAAGGAGAGCCAGUCAGAGUUCCAAAACUGAAGAAUUUGGAGUCCAAUGUUCGGGGACAGGAAGCAUCCAGCAGGGGAGAAAGAUACACGCUGGGAAGGCUAAGCUAGUCUCUUUUCACAUUUUUCUGUCUGCUUAUAUUCUAGCCAUGCUGACAGCUGAUUAGAUUGUGCCCACCCAGAUUAAGGGUGGGCCUGCCUUUCCCAGCUCACUGACUCAAAUGUCAAUCUCCUUGGGCAACACCCUCACAGACACACCUGGAAUCAAUAUUUUGUAUUCUCCAAUCCAAUCAAGUUGACACUCAGUAUUAACUAUCACAAAGGGCUAGCACCUGAUUUGUUGACUCUCAUUUACUUCUGGUUCUAACAUUCCAUGAUUCUAAAACAAACAGAAAUCACACUGAAGUACAAAGCCCCCAGACCCCAGAAAGCAAAAACACAGCAGAAACUACAAAGCAAACAGCUAACAAUAUCGUGAUAGGAUCGAAACCUCAUGUAUCAAUAUUAAACUUGAAUGUAAAUGGUCUAACCACCCUGCUUAAACAGGACACCCUCUCAACUUCUCCUGCCUAUUUUAAUUUCAUAUUCAGGCUGGAAGAAAGGGGCAACGAAUUUCUCAUAAAAUUGUAUUUGAGCUACUGGAAUUCAGUUAAAUACCCACAGGUUCAAUAGAAAGGCCCUUUUGUGUGAAGUAAAGCUAUAUCAGUGAGUGAGCUUGACUCAAUUUAGUUAUUCCCACAUCUAUUUUUUUAAUGAGAAUGAGUAAUAUUUCCGGAAAGAGAAGAAAAGUUAGCACCACUUAAGAGAUCCCGGGGCUCUAAGAUAGCAUCAACUAAAUGCUAUAGUUUCUUAUUACUUUUGGGGAGAAGCUAAUGUACAGCAAUUUGAAAUCCAGGCAAUAUUGCAUCCUAGAAAAGAAGCCAUUUAACUUUAUCCAUGGGAUUAAAAGACUAAAUUUUCUUUUCUUAGUACUAUCAUAGAAUAAUUUAGUUUUCUCCAGUAGAAGCAGUAUUUCCACAACAGAUCAGGGGAUGGCAGUAAAGAGUUGCUCUCUGGUCAAUAAAGUAUUUGUAUGACAGAGAAAAAUUAUAGUUUAAACUAAUUUAUUUGUAUAUUGUAUUGCCCCUAAUAAAAUUCACACACCAUUUUGUUGGCUUGAAUUAAAGUGUCAUCAAAGGGCUUGUGGAGAUUAGUUUGGGCAUUGACUUAACAUGGCAUCUCAAAAUAAAUACUCCCCAAAUUGCAUUUUACCAUUGCAUAUGAAGCCCGCAACCAGCGAAAAUCAUAAUGAUUUUAUCAGGAUCAGGUAUUUAAGUGACUUUAAUUAAAUCCAUCUCUGGUAUGGGGUUGGUGAUUUCUAUUUUAGGGCAAUUCUUAAUCCAAAUAUUUGACUUAUUUCAGAAUAUUUAAUUCACAUCCCUGUUUCACAGAAUUUUACUUAAAGUAAAAACCAACCUAGGAGCCUUGUGUCUUUGUCCUAACUCUAUAGGUAUGUGUGGGUGUCUCUGGUUGGAAAUGUACAGGGCUGCUAGAGAAAUGGAGAAAGAAAGCAUCCACACCGUGCAUCUGAAGAGCACUAAGUAAACUCCUCUGUCUUUCUGUCUAAUGUUCUGAGCAAUAUUAGAUAGGGUACCUGGAAUGAAUCAAACUGUUAGCAGUGGUGAGUAUCUGAGUUACAAGCAGUGAGUCCAUACGGGUCUGCAGCCACCUCAAUUAUUGUCUUCAAAGAAGAAAAAAUUCGACUGAGGGGCAUAAUGCAGAAGAACAGAUUGAGGCAAGUUUUAGAGCAUGAGUGAAAGUUGACUUAAAAAUUUGAGAGCAGGGGCACGGCUCAGUGGCUUAUGCCUGUAAUCUCAGCACUUUGGGAGGCUGAGGCAGGUGGAUCAUCUGAGCUCAGCCUGGGCAACAUAGUGAAACCUCAUCUCUACAAAAAAAUUUUUUAAAAAACUACUUAGGAGGCUGAGGUGGGAGGAUUGCUUGAGCCUGGGAGGUGGAUGGUGCAGUGAGCCAAGAUCACGCUAUUACACUCCAGCCUGGGUGACAAAGUGAGACCCUGUCUUAAAAAAAAAAAGAAAAGAAAAGAAAAGAAAAAGAAAAAAGAAAGAAAGGAAGAAAGAAAAGGAAAGAAAAAAAAAAGCUUUGGAGCAGGAACAAAAGAAAAAAAAAGUACAUUUGGAAGAGGCCCAAGCAAGCGACUUUGAAGGACAAGUGCAGGGUUUGACCUUUUGACUUGGGUUUUGUUUUUUUGUUUUUGUUUUGUUUGUUUUUUGUUUUUGUUUUGGUGACAGAGUCUUGCUCUGUCACCCAGGCUUGAGUGCAGUGGUGCGAUCUGGGCUCACUGCAACCUCCGCCUCCCGGGUUCAAGCAAUUAUCUGUCUCAGCCUCCUGAGUAACUGAGAUUACAGGUGCCCGCCACCACGCCUGGCUAAUUUUUGUAUUUUUAGUAGAGACAAGGUUUCAUCAUGUUGGCCAGGCAGGUCUUGAACUCCUAACCUCGUGAUCCAUCCGCCUCGGCCUGCCAAAGUGCCUGGAUUACAGGCGUGAGCCACUGCACCCGGCCCGACUUGGGGUUUUAUAUGUUGGCGUGAUUCUGGGUCUUGCGUUCCUUCUCCCCUGAUUCUUCUCUUGGUGUGGGUUGUCCACAUACACAGUGGCCUGCUAGUGCUUGGGAGGGGAGCAUGCACGGUGUGUUUACUGGAGUUGUACGCAUGCUCACCUGAGGCAUUCUUCCCUUUUGCCGUGGAAUGGGCGCGGAAGGUCAUAUACCAGUUAAAUUCCACCGUUUUGCCUCUUAGUGCACAUGUGUGAGCCCACUUGCCCAGCUCCUAAGAUCUCAUCAGGAAGCUGCUGAUCACCAGUUUCAGUUUUUUCCUGUCUAUAGGGAAACUGCCUUUCCCUGGCACUGGCUGCGACCAAUUAUUAUUUUAGAGGCAGUGUGACAACUGUCUGACCAUCACCUGAUGGUCACCCGACUUUUCUGAUGGGGUGAUGGGGGAGCCCUCUCUUGCCCCAUUCAUGCCUGACUAGCCACCUACUGUAACAAAGUCAUGCAAGCCAGAUCCCAGCUAUAUUCUAGUACCUGGGACUUCCUUUGCAGCACUUAUCAAAACUGUAAUUAUUUAACGAUUUGUAUUUUUCUAAUUAUCUAUCUGCACCACCUAGAUAGAUUUGUAUUUUUCUAAUUAUCUAUCUGCAUCACCCUGCCUCACCUCACUUCCUUCAAGGUUGUAUCCUUGGCAAUGCUCACAAUGCCUGUUCAUAGCAGAGGCUCCGGGAUAGUCUCAUAGUCAUCUUAAAAUUCCUAGUACUUAGCACAUAUCAUGUAAAUGUAAGGUUUCUUGGAUAAAGCUUUGGCUACUUUAGUCUGUCUAUAGGAUACUGCAGUAAACAAAAAACAUUUCAUGCUCUCAUGAAAACAUUCUAGUGCAAGAUGGGGGAACAGAGGUAAUAGAUACAAAUGUCAUAUGUAUGAAUAGUUAAGCAAUUGUGAUAUCAUAUCAGACAGUGAUAAGUGUGUGUACACAGACACCUCUACAAUGUCAGGGGUCUGCUCUGGGAAACUGACAGCCAAGUACAGAGUUGAAAGAACUGUCCCCUGAAGAGCAUAGAAGAGAUUUCUAGGCACGGGAACAGCUCAUGCGAAGGUCCUGCACAAGAGUUUGGCAGGUUCAAAAGGCCAGUGAGGCCAGAAGGAAUUGAAGGAAGGCAUGGCCAUCCAUCCAUGCCAUUCCGUUCAGUGAAAACCAAAGAAAAGUAGCUUGAACAACCCAAGAAGUCCAGUAAUAGAACAAUCAUUUAAUAACAAACAUAAAGGAACCUGCCCUAACCGUGCAAACCCAUAGUGUUCAACAGUCUUAGCUUCUGAUUUUGCAACAUUAUGUAAAGCUUAGGGAAAGAUUCUUUCUGUAAUGCUAAUUUAAGUAUCAAGAGAAAAAAUUGCUUAGACAGGAUAGGUUCAACUGGGCAAGGACUCUUGAAAGGUAACUCAUGCUUGUUCAUUAAUGCAAUAUUUAACAAAUACUGAAUGGCUUCUAGUGUCAGACAUUGUUCUUAAUAGUAUUGGGGACACGACAGUGAACAACAUAGAAAACAACACCUGUCCUCAUGGAGCUUAUAUAUUUGUUGUGGAGAGAUAGCCAAAAAUAAAAAUAAAAAUUUCACAAAGGACUAGAUCAAGCUUGUCCAACCCAUGGCCCAUGGGCUGCAUGCAGCCCAGGAUGGCUUUGAAUGUGGCUGAACACAAAUUCAUAAACUUUGUUAAAACAUUAUGAGAUCUCUUCUGCAAUUUUUUUAAGCUUAUCAGCUAUCAUUAGUGUUACUGUAUUUGAUGUGUGGCCCAAGACAAUUCUUCUUUUUCCAAGGUGGCCCAGAGAAGCCAAAAGAUUGAACACCCCUGGAUUAGAUCAUUUCAGCUGCAACAAGUACUAAAAAAGAAAAGUGCCAGAACUAACUUGGAUAGUUGGAUGCUUUCCUUUUAGCAAAUAACCUGUCAGCCUAUCAAUCACUUAAUAAUAAGAGAGGUUCCCUUUAUGUAAUAGAAUAAUGGAAUGAUUUUUCUCCUUCAUGUUUUCUGCAUUUUCUAAUUUUUUUACAGUGACAAUGCUACUUUACUUAUCAAAUAAAAAAUUUAUUAAAUAAUACAUAAAGAUAUUCUUGUUAACAUUUCAGACAUUAAAGACAAAGCUAAGGCUUCCUUUACCAAAGGAAAGGUGACAGGCAUAAACUCACAUAAUCAAUCAGCUUUGUUAAAAGUGACAAAGAUUUGAAGUGUGUGAUUCGGUGCCUCUGCUUCAUAACUAGAAUAAAUUUUCUCAGAAAGUUAUCUCUCUUCCCAGAAGAAUAAGAAAACAUACUUUAUUAUUUUUAACACAAAUUCCUCCUUCCUUUAUUUUUAACACAAAUUCCUCUUUCCUUUAAUUUGUGAAAAAAAAGUAGUAUCAGGAGGGGUACCAUUGUUAGCCCCAUGUGAUCAAACAAAUAAUCUGCAAUUCUAUUGUAGAUAAGCAGCAAGAAAUGCUUUUAGGGUUUGGUUCACAUGUUACAGAGAAGUUAGUGGACCUCAGUAGAAUGAGGCUCUUAUUUUAAAAACCUUCUUGAUCAGAUGUUCAAACUGAGGGUCAAAACACUGUUGAUUGCCAUGAAACCUAUUGUGAAAAUGGGUUAUCAACACCAACUAAAACUGCUUCCGCAAGGCAUAUGGAAUCUCCAUGGUACAGUCCUCAGAAACAACACUGGUAAAACCAAUGUGCCACAUUACUUUCAAAUAAGCCUCCCCUGAACAAUAUGUGAUAUUGAUGAGACAUAUGGGUACUAGCCUACUAUGGUUUUAAAGCAUAUAGUCUCUUUUAAGCAAUGAAGUCUGAGGGAGAAUAACCAGAACAUUAAGAUAACAGAAGAAACAUUCUAAUUAUGUUGAUUAACCUUCCUCCCAACUGAAAGAAGUAUUAUUUUCUGCCACUGCUCUGUUAAUGUACAUACAUAUUUCUAGAUAAAAAUUAAUAUAACCACUACAAAAACCUAGGAGCAAGUUGGGGGCAGGGGGAAAUCAAUAAAGUACCAAAACAGAUAAAACUGAUAUACCGCACCCGAGUUUCAAUAUACUAUAAAUUAUUUCUUCCUCAAGAUUCUAUCCUUCUUUACUCCCCUCCUCCAUUACAGAAUCUCAAUUUAAAAGAAAAAUGUAUUUGAUAAUAAAUAGCAUUUAGAAAUUCUCAAGGAAAGGCAAGUGUAUCUUGUAUCUCUUGCUCUUUUCCCAGGCUUUCUUACCUUUCUUUGAAAGACCAAAAAAAAAAAGAAAAGAAAAAAGAAAGAAAGGGCACCAAGAAGAGAUUGUUUGGCACUGCGCGGUUCACCAUCAUGCGAUACUGACGUAAUGGUCUGGGGCACACUGACUGGCUGCCUCAGAACUGGUCACUCUCUCUUUCUUUUCGCAUAUGGAGCAGCAAUCAGCUUACAACUAAAUCACAUCUGAGCACAAGCUGUCUCCACAAAGCCAACCAAAGAGGCAACAUUCACAGGCUGACAAAGCAUCCCUAAAGCAGGAAAGAAAAGAAGCCCCUGAGGCUGCUGCCCGGAGAAGGAAAAGGCUUUCAACAUUCAUACCAGUCUGUUGGGGCAUUGUGCAGACCACAGAGGGAGAGUAACUGAUGGAAUACUCUCUGAAGUUCACACUUGGGCGAAGCUGCAUGUUUAACAUCAGGAGUGGGAGGAAAGUUUAAAGAACCUUGCCAGUGAUGUAUUAUUAAAGAAGGAAGGAAGGAGGAAGAAUGGAAGGAGGAGGGAAGAAGAAGGAAGGAGGUGAGAGGUGUGCGGA